This 234-nucleotide ribosomal RNA is filed under the name Cyanobacteria bacterium UBA12227. RNAcentral describes it as "partial 16S ribosomal RNA". It matches the Rfam family "Bacterial small subunit ribosomal RNA", at positions 1 to 264 of the family's 1533-position model. Lineage: Bacteria; Bacillati; Cyanobacteriota. The record is from RNAcentral.
CAUGGAGAGUUUGAUCCUGGCUCAGGAUGAACGCUGGCGGUCUGCUUAACACAUGCAAGUCGAACGCAACCUUUCGGGGUUGAGUGGCGGACGGGUGAGUAACGCGUGAGAAUCUGCCUUCAGGUCGGGGACAACCCCUGGAAACGGGGGCUAAUACCGGAUGAGCCGAUGGGUAAAAGAUUUAUCGCCUGAAGAAGAGCUCGCGUCUGAUUAGCUAGUUGGUGGGGUAAAAGC